GGAGAUGAAGCAAAAAUAUAUUUAAUACCGAAAUUAAUUUAUACAUACGUUAAAACACGAUAUGUUUAAAAUUGCAAAGAUUGAUAACCUUUGCAUAUUAUACCCACGGGAUUAUUUAUUAAAGAAAAUAUGGGGAGGGAACUUCACUCGGUCGGCCAACUGAAAUACUAAGAUUCUCGCAAAUACAGUUGUUUUCUGAUUAAGAAAUGUUGGUUUCAACGCAUUGCAGCAACAUGAUUUCUCUUCCAUUUCAGAGUUUGGCUCAUCUCCUCUGUUGCUUCAGUGAUUCUCCAAGGUAAGUUGUACUUGGCCAUUCUUCUCUUCCUUGCUUCCACUCCAAUUUUGUCUCCAUGAUCCUUGAGGCAGAGGCCAUCAUAAACAUCACAAAUGGGAUAGUCCGCUGGGCAGCAAUAGUUUGAUCCAUCACAACAAACACCGUUCUCAUAGGGGCAGCAACCCUGCUCUAAGCACAAGCCUGAGAACUCUAACACACAGCAGCAUGUUUGGUCUCCUGGACAGUAACUGAAGUCUCCACAUUCACUUGGUUUUGGAGUAGGCGGUGGAGGGGAUGGCGGGGGAGGUGGUGGCAUGGCUGGAGACGGAUAAGGAGAUGGUGAUGAUUCUUUCGUUGGGUAUGAAGCCAAUGAAUUAAUGGCACAAACCCCAUAUGGCAAAUUAGUGUUCCUUCUUAUAUAUCCAUACCCUUCCAUUCCCCACUCUGUACCCCAUGAGUUCUUGAUAAUCCAAUAGUCAUCAUAUCCAUCAGAAUCAUAUCCAACUAUUACUACUCCGUGGGAGACCUUAUUUGGAUCAUCAGAGCAUUCUCCAUCAUAUAUUCCCCCUAGGUAUAGUUGAAAAUCAGGGCUGCUUCCGUCGAUGGCCACACUAACAGGUUGUUGAGCAGCAGCACAAAGAAGUGCACUUUCCUCCUUUGGAACAUCUCGGUAUCCAUCAAUUGUUACAACCUUAUGGUUCACCUUGUUGUAAUUGCAAUGGCCUUGAGAAUGGGCAGUGUAUGCAUAAUCAGCUGCUGAAUCAAUGCCGCCGUUGUUUAUCACCCAUUCAAAAGCAGGGUCCAUAAGUCCACCUUUACAGCCACUAUUGUUUGAAGUAUCACAAUCAAUAAGUUCUUGUUCAGAAAGGCUAAUAAGUUCACCAGCAACUAUUGCAUUUAUUCCCUCCAUGGCUCCAGACGCCGAGAAUGCCCAACAAGCUCCACAUUGUCCUUGGUCCUUCACCUUAGUGACAGCCCCAUGUUUCCUCCAGUCCAUUGAAGGAGGAGCAUCACAAGAAAAUGAAGUUGUUUCUUUUUCCGCUACCUUCAUCCGAAUAGUCUUUCUCUUGUUAAAGGGUAUCUUAAUCUUGGAAGUAUGAACUUGUCUAAACUCUUCAUUGCUCAUAUCAGCAAAUUUUGUCAAACCAACCAAAUAGUCUGAAUCUGAUUUCCUCUUGGAGUUCUUUUCCACUAUAUACUUCACAUUCCUUUUAAAAUUCUCCAACUUCAUUUCUUCCUCUUUCUUGUUCAUGUAAACUUUUCCAUGCUUCUGUUUCCAUUCUUGGAAGAGUUGGAACACUGUUUCUUCUGAAAGAGGCUCAGUUGGUCUUUCUAGUAUUGGAAAAUCAGUGGUAAAAGAAGAAACUUGAGAUGAUAAUGCACCAAAGAUCAAGAAAAGUGGGAUAAGGAAAAGGAAGAGAGGAGGACUCUGUUUGCUUCCCAUUUUUCAGUUACAUUAAACAGUUAUUGACUUUGUGAUCAUUCUAGGCCUGAUCUCAUUGUUUUAUAGAUCUAGCAAAAGAGUAAGUUACGUAUACGGAUAGUAUAAAUAAUUUUUUCACUAUCAAGAUCACAUUAUUUUUAGUUGUAACACAAAAAUACAUCAUAUUGUCAAGAUUUUACAUUCCACAUUUUUAGGAGACCUACCUAUAUAGAUAUCUUUAGAUACCCUGAUGGUAUAAAAAAAAUAUUUACAUCGCGAUUCCAAUAACUCUACGUAGGUUACAUACAUGAAAAACUGUGCUAGCUUUUUUCAGCUAUAUAUGGUUUGAACUUCAAAGUGAUGAUUGAGGAAGGGUACAAUGGUAGGUGUGGCU
RNAcentral lists this unclassified non-coding RNA (2091 nucleotides) under Hevea brasiliensis (rubber tree). Lineage: Eukaryota; Viridiplantae; Streptophyta; Magnoliopsida; Malpighiales; Euphorbiaceae. The record is from RNAcentral.